This 2932-nucleotide ribosomal RNA is filed under the name Escherichia coli. RNAcentral describes it as "bacterial LSU rRNA". It matches the Rfam family "Bacterial large subunit ribosomal RNA". Lineage: Bacteria; Pseudomonadati; Pseudomonadota; Gammaproteobacteria; Enterobacterales; Enterobacteriaceae. The record is from RNAcentral.
GGGUUGUGAGGUUAAGCGACUAAGCGUACACGGUGGAUGCCCUGGCAGUCAGAGGCGAUGAAGGACGUGCUAAUCUGCGAUAAGCGUCGGUAAGGUGAUAUGAACCGUUAUAACCGGCGAUUUCCGAAUGGGGAAACCCAGUGUGAUUCGUCACACUAUCAUUAACUGAAUCCAUAGGUUAAUGAGGCGAACCGGGGGAACUGAAACAUCUAAGUACCCCGAGGAAAAGAAAUCAACCGAGAUUCCCCCAGUAGCGGCGAGCGAACGGGGAGSAGCCCAGAGCCUGAAUCAGUGUGUGUGUUAGUGGAAGCGUCUGGAAAGGCGCGCGAUACAGGGUGACAGCCCCGUACACAAAAAUGCACAUGCUGUGAGCUCGAUGAGUAGGGCGGGACACGUGGUAUCCUGUCUGAAUAUGGGGGGACCAUCCUCCAAGGCUAAAUACUCCUGACUGACCGAUAGUGAACCAGUACCGUGAGGGAAAGGCGAAAAGAACCCCGGCGAGGGGAGUGAAAAAGAACCUGAAACCGUGUACGUACAAGCAGUGGGAGCACAGAGCAAUCUGUGUGACUGCGUACCUUUUGUAUAAUGGGUCAGCGACUUAUAUUCUGUAGCAAGGUUAACCGAAUAGGGGAGCCGAAGGGAAACCGAGUCUUAACUGGGCGUUAAGUUGCAGGGUAUAGACCCGAAACCCGGUGAUCUAGCCAUGGGCAGGUUGAAGGUUGGGUAACACUAACUGGAGGACCGAACCGACUAAUGUUGAAAAAUUAGCGGAUGACUUGUGGCUGGGGGUGAAAGGCCAAUCAAACCGGGAGAUAGCUGGUUCUCCCCGAAAGCUAUUUAGGUAGCGCCUCGUGAAYUCAUCUCCGGGGGUAGAGCACUGUUUCGGCAAGGGGGUCAUCCCGACUUACCAACCCGAUGCAAACUGCGAAUACCGGAGAAUGUUAUCACGGGAGACACACGGCGGGUGCUAACGUCCGUCGUGAAGAGGGAAACAACCCAGACCGCCAGCUAAGGUCCCAAAGUCAUGGUUAAGUGGGAAACGAUGUGGGAAGGCCCAGACAGCCAGGAUGUUGGCUUAGAAGCAGCCAUCAUUUAAAGAAAGCGUAAUAGCUCACUGGUCGAGUCGGCCUGCGCGGAAGAUGUAACGGGGCUAAACCAUGCACCGAAGCUGCGGCAGCGACGCUUAUGCGUUGUUGGGUAGGGGAGCGUUCUGUAAGCCUGUGAAGGUGUGCUGUGAGGCAUGCUGGAGGUAUCAGAAGUGCGAAUGCUGACAUAAGUAACGAUAAAGCGGGUGAAAAGCCCGCUCGCCGGAAGACCAAGGGUUCCUGUCCAACGUUAAUCGGGGCAGGGUGAGUCGACCCCUAAGGCGAGGCCGAAAGGCGUAGUCGAUGGGAAACAGGUUAAUAUUCCUGUACUUGGUGUUACUGCGAAGGGGGGACGGAGAAGGCUAUGUUGGCCGGGCGACGGUUGUCCCGGUUUAAGCGUGUAGGCUGGUUUUCCAGGCAAAUCCGGAAAAUCAAGGCUGAGGCGUGAUGACGAGGCACUACGGURCUGAAGCAACAAAUGCCCUGCUUCCAGGAAAAGCCUCUAAGCAUCAGGUAACAUCAAAUCGUACCCCAAACCGACACAGGUGGUCAGGUAGAGAAUACCAAGGCGCUUGAGAGAACUCGGGUGAAGGAACUAGGCAAAAUGGUGCCGUAACUUCGGGAGAAGGCACGCUGAUAUGUAGGUGAAGCGACUUGCUCGUGGAGCUGAAAUCAGUCGAAGAUACCAGCUGGCUGCAACUGUUUAUUAAAAACACAGCACUGUGCAAACACGAAAGUGGACGUAUACGGUGUGACGCCUGCCCGGUGCCGGAAGGUUAAUUGAUGGGGUCAGCGCAAGCGAAGCUCUUGAUCGAAGCCCCGGUAAACGGCGGCCGUAACUAUAACGGUCCUAAGGUAGCGAAAUUCCUUGUCGGGUAAGUUCCGACCUGCACGAAUGGCGUAAUGAUGGCCAGGCUGUCUCCACCCGAGACUCAGUGAAAUUGAACUCGCUGUGAAGAUGCAGUGUACCCGCGGCAAGACGGAAAGACCCCGUGAACCUUUACUAUAGCUUGACACUGAACAUUGAGCCUUGAUGUGUAGGAUAGGUGGGAGGCUUAGAAGUGUGGACGCCAGUCUGCAUGGAGCCGACCUUGAAAUACCACCCUUUAAUGUUUGAUGUUCUAACGUUGACCCGUAAUCCGGGUUGCGGACAGUGUCUGGUGGGUAGUUUGACUGGGGCGGUCUCCUCCUAAAGAGUAACGGAGGAGCACGAAGGUUGGCUAAUCCUGGUCGGACAUCAGGAGGUUAGUGCAAUGGCAUAAGCCAGCUUGACUGCGAGCGUGACGGCGCGAGCAGGUGCGAAAGCAGGUCAUAGUGAUCCGGUGGUUCUGAAUGGAAGGGCCAUCGCUCAACGGAUAAAAGGUACUCCGGGGAUAACAGGCUGAUACCGCCCAAGAGUUCAUAUCGACGGCGGUGUUUGGCACCUCGAUGUCGGCUCAUCACAUCCUGGGGCUGAAGUAGGUCCCAAGGGUAUGGCUGUUCGCCAUUUAAAGUGGUACGCGAGCUGGGUUUAGAACGUCGUGAGACAGUUCGGUCCCUAUCUGCCGUGGGCGCUGGAGAACUGAGGGGGGCUGCUCCUAGUACGAGAGGACCGGAGUGGACGCAUCACUGGUGUUCGGGUUGUCAUGCCAAUGGCACUGCCCGGUAGCUAAAUGCGGAAGAGAUAAGUGCUGAAAGCAUCUAAGCACGAAACUUGCCCCGAGAUGAGUUCUCCCUGACYCYUURAGRGUCCUGAAGGAACGUUGAAGACGACGACGUUGAUAGGCCGGGUGUGUAAGCGCAGCGAUGCGUUGAGCUAACCGGUACUAAUGAACCGUGAGGCUUAACCUUACAACGCCGAAGCUGUU